UACGUAGGGGGCGAGCGUUGUCCGGAAUCAUUGGGCGUAAAGAGCGCGUAGGCGGCCCGACAAGUCCGCUGUGAAAGUCAGGGGCUCAACCCUUGAAUGCCGGUGGAUACUGUCGGGCUAGAGUCCGGAAGAGGCGAGUGGAAUUCCUGGCGUAGCGGUGAAAUGCGCAGAUAUCAGGAGGAACACCGAUGGCGAAGGCAGCUCGCUGGGACGGUACUGACGCUGAGGCGCGAAAGCGUGGGGAGCAAACAGG
RNAcentral lists this ribosomal RNA (253 nucleotides) under uncultured bacterium. Its description in RNAcentral is "partial 16S ribosomal RNA". It matches the Rfam family "Bacterial small subunit ribosomal RNA", at positions 524 to 776 of the family's 1533-position model. The record is from RNAcentral.